AUGGCGGAGGCGGAAGAGUCGGCGGCAUUCGCGGCCGUCGGUGGUGCUCGCUGGACCGGAGCGGCUUCACCGGAGCAACUACAGAUUGAAGGCGGGUUCGCGAUGUGUCGGCGUUCCUGCCGGCGGCGGAGUCCUGUGCUUGCCGUUUUCCGUCGCACUGGGCAGUUCGUCGCCGUCGCGGUGGCGGUCAUGCCGCAAAAGAAGAAACGUACUCGUAACAGGGCCUCUCAGGAACGACUGACUUCAUUGACUGACAGAUUUACCGACGAUCAGAAGGGAGCUGCUGCUGAGAUGGGUAUGCAGGCUCUGAUGGAUGUCCGGUGCACGAAUCUAGUCAACCAUAUAUGCGACUGGCUUGGUGAGAUCUACGACCCUGCCUCGAGGGAAUUUGUGAUUCCGGGACGUGCAAGACUGCCGUUGGAUGAGGAAUCCAUGUUCUGCACUCUGGGUGUGCCACGUGGAGAGAUCAAAGUCCCGUAUGAGGUCAAUAAUAAGAUCGAGAAAGCGUUGUUCCCCCGUUUGUUUCCUGGGUUGGAAUCCAUGCCGAACACGACUUUCCUGGCAGAUUCGCUGCAGACCAUGACAACCCAUGGCGAGGUCUCUAAGAUGAAACUACUCAUGUACCUCAUCUCUGCUGUUUUCGCGCCGACCACUUCUCUUCGGCCAAGAAACAAAUGCUUCCCCAUCCUGGCGAAACUAAAAGAUGUGAAGAACAUGAAUUGGUGUAAGUUCAUUGCCGACUUCCUGCAUGACGCACUCUCAAGCAAGAUGUACCAGAAGGGUUGUUGA
This 789-nucleotide ribosomal RNA is filed under the name Triticum aestivum (bread wheat). RNAcentral describes it as "partial small subunit ribosomal RNA". The record is from RNAcentral. Lineage: Eukaryota; Viridiplantae; Streptophyta; Magnoliopsida; Poales; Poaceae.